AUUAAGCCAUGCAUGUCUAAGUAUAAACCAAUUUAUACGGUGAAACUGCGAAUGGCUCAUUAUAUCAGUUAUAAUUUACAUGAUGAUGACUUGCUACAUGGAUAACUGUGGUAAUUCUAGAGCUAAUACAUGCGGAGGGUCGGAGAGGGAAACCUUGACGACUGCAUUUAUUAGAUACCAAACCGAUGACACUUGUGUCUUGGAUGAUUCAUGAUAACUAUGCGGAUCGCAUGGCCUUGUGCCGGCGACGGAUCAUUCAAAUUUCUGCCCUAUCAACUUUUGAUGGUAGGAUCGAGGCCUACCAUGGUUCUUACGGGUAACGGGGAAUUAGGGUUCGAUUCCGGAGAGGGAGCCUGAGAAAUGGCUACCACAUCCAAGGAUGGCAGCAGGCGCGCAAAUUACCCAAUCCCGACAUGGGGAGGUAGUGACAGUAAAUAACAAAGGGGGGCCUUAUGGUUUCCCUAUUGGAAUGGAAGGGGGUUAAAUCUUCCCUUGAGAAACGAUUGGAGGGCAAGUCUGGUGCCAGCAGCCGCGGUAAUUCCAGCUCCAAUAGCGUAUAUUAAAGUUGCUGCAGUUAAAACGCUCGUAGUUGAAUUUUAGGUGGGGGCAGGUGGUCUACACUUGUGUAUGACUGCCUUCCGAAGCCUCUUUAAGGGGGGAUGGGUCGAUUUCGAUUCCUUUCCCCUGAUUACUGUGAGAAAAUUAGGGUGUUCAAAGCACACUUCGAGUGUGAAUACUACAGCAUGGAAUAAUGGAAUAGGACGGCUGUCCUGUUUUGUUGGUUUGAGGGUGGUCGUAAUGAUUAAUAGGGACAGUUGGGGGCAUUAGUAUUUGACAGCUAGAGGUGAAAUUCUUGGAUUUGUCAAAGACUAGCUGGUGCGAAAGCGUUUGCCAAGGAUGUUUUCAUUAAUCAAGAACGAAAGUUAGGUGAUCGAAGACGAUCAGAUACCGUCGUAGUCUCAACCAUAAACUAUAGCGACAGGGAGGUUGCACGUGUUUUCGAUGACCGUGUAACAACCCAACCUGAAAAGAAGUCUUUGGCUUCCAGGGGGAAUAUGCGUCGCAAGUCUGAAACUUAAAGGAAUUGACGGAAGGGCACCACCAGGGGUGGAGCCUGCGGCUUAAUUUGACUCAACACGGGGAAACUCACCAGGUCCGGACAUGGCGAGGAUUGACAGAUUGAGAGCUCUUUCUUGAUUCCAUGGAUGGUGGUGCAUGGCCGUUCUUAGUUGGUGGAGUGAUUUGUCUGGUUAAUUCCGAUAACGAACGAGACCUUAACCUGCUAACUAGUUGCGGGUACGCGAGUACCGGCACACUUCUUAGAGGGACUGACUACGUUUAGUGGUCGGAAGUUUGAGGCAAUAACAGGUCUGUGAUGCCCUUAGAUGUUCUGGGCCGCACGCGCGCUACACUGAUAAAGGCAGCGAGUAUACAACCUUGACCGAAAGGUCUGGGUAAUCUUCUGAAUCUUUAUCGUGAUGGGGAUAGACCAUUGCAAUUAUUGGUCUUGAACGAGGAAUUCCUAGUAAGCGCAAGUCAUCAGCUUGCGUUGAUUACGUCCCUGCCCUUUGUACACACCGCCCGUCGGUACUACCGAUUGAAUGGCUUAGUGAGGCCUUCGGAUUGUUCUUAAGAGCUUGCAAAAGCUUUCAGGAGUGAGAAGUUGGACAAACUUGGUCAUU
This 1682-nucleotide ribosomal RNA is filed under the name uncultured eukaryote. RNAcentral describes it as "SSU rRNA". It matches the Rfam family "Eukaryotic small subunit ribosomal RNA". The record is from RNAcentral.